AGAGUUUGAUCCUGGCUCAGGAUGAACGCUAGCGACAGGCUUAACACAUGCAAGUCGAGGGGCAGCGGGGGCGAAGCUUGCUUCGCCUGCCGGCGACCGGCGCACGGGUGAGUAACACGUAUGCGACCUGCCCCCCGCAGGGGGAUAACCGGGAGAAAUCCCGACUAAUACCGCGUAACGCCGCGGGGCUGCAUGGCCCCGCGGCCAAAGGAAGCGAUUCCGGCGGGGGAUGGGCAUGCGGCGCAUUAGCUAGUCGGCGGGGUAACGGCCCACCGAGGCGACGAUGCGUAGGGGUUCUGAGAGGAAGGUCCCCCACACUGGUACUGAGACACGGACCAGACUCCUACGGGAGGCAGCAGUGAGGAAUAUUGGUCAAUGGGCGGGAGCCUGAACCAGCCAAGUCGCGUGAGGGAAGACGGUCCUACGGAUUGUAAACCUCUUUUGCCGGGGAGCAACGGGGUCCUUGCGAGGGCCCUAUGAGAGUACCCGGAGAAAAAGCAUCGGCUAACUCCGUGCCAGCAGCCGCGGUAAUACGGAGGAUGCGAGCGUUAUCCGGAUUUAUUGGGUUUAAAGGGUGCGUAGGCGGGCUGUUAAGUCAGCGGUCAAAUGUCGGGGCUCAACCCCGGCCUGCCGUUGAAACUGGCGGCCUCGAGUGGGCGAGAAGUAUGCGGAAUGCGUGGUGUAGCGGUGAAAUGCAUAGAUAUCACGCAGAACUCCGAUUGCGAAGGCAGCAUACCGGCGCCCUACUGACGCUGAGGCACGAAAGCGUGGGUAUCGAACAGGAUUAGAUACCCUGGUAGUCCACGCAGUAAACGAUGAAUGCUAGCUGUCCGGUUCUACGGGACUGGGUGGCACAGCGAAAGCGUUAAGCAUUCCACCUGGGGAGUACGCCGGCAACGGUGAAACUCAAAGGAAUUGACGGGGGCCCGCACAAGCGGAGGAACAUGUGGUUUAAUUCGAUGAUACGCGAGGAACCUUACCCGGGCUCAAACGCCAAAGGACAGCCGCUGAAAGGCGGCCUCCCUCCGGGGUCUUUGGCGAGGUGCUGCAUGGUUGUCGUCAGCUCGUGCCGUGAGGUGUCGGCUUAAGUGCCAUAACGAGCGCAACCCCCAUCGACAGUUGCUAACGGGUAGAGCCGAGGACUCUGUCGAGACUGCCGGCGCAAGCUGCGAGGAAGGCGGGGAUGACGUCAAAUCAGCACGGCCCUUACGUCCGGGGCGACACACGUGUUACAAUGGCCGGUACAGCGGGAUGCCAGGGCGCGAGCCCGAGCGGAACCCGAAAACCGGUCUCAGUUCGGAUUGGAGUCUGCAACCCGACUCCAUGAAGCUGGAUUCGCUAGUAAUCGCGCAACAGCCACGGCGCGGUGAAU
RNAcentral lists this ribosomal RNA (1372 nucleotides) under uncultured bacterium. RNAcentral's name for it is "16S ribosomal RNA". It matches the Rfam family "Bacterial small subunit ribosomal RNA", at positions 8 to 1367 of the family's 1533-position model. The record is from RNAcentral.